UGGGGAAUUUUGGACAAUGGGCGCAAGCCUGAUCCAGCCAUGCCGCGUGCGGGAAGAAGGCCUUCGGGUUGUAAACCGCUUUGUCAGGGAAGAAAUCUUCUGAGUUAAUACCUCGGGAGGAUGACGGUACCUGAAGAAUAAGCACCGGCUAACUACGUGCCAGCAGCCGCGGUAAUACGUAGGGUGCAAGCGUUAAUCGGAAUUACUGGGCGUAAAGCGUGCGCAGGCGGUUUUGUAAGACAGAGGUGAAAUCCCCGGGCUCAACCUGGGAACUGCCUUUGUGACUGCAAGGCUUGAGUGCGGCAGAGGGGGAUGGAAUUCCGCGUGUAGCAGUGAAAUGCGUAGAUAUGCGGAGGAACACCGAUGGCGAAGGCAAUCCCCUGGGCCUGCACUGACGCUCAUGCACGAAAGCGUGGGGAGCAAACAGGAUUAGAUACCCUGGUAGUCACGCCCUAAACGAUGUCAACUGGUUGUUGGGAAGGUUCCUUCUCAGUAACGUAGCUAACGCGUGAAGUUGACCGCCUGGGGAGUACGGCCGCAAGGUUGAAAC
RNAcentral lists this ribosomal RNA (550 nucleotides) under uncultured bacterium. RNAcentral describes it as "partial 16S ribosomal RNA". It matches the Rfam family "Bacterial small subunit ribosomal RNA", at positions 355 to 900 of the family's 1533-position model. The record is from RNAcentral.